GACAGAAAGAAUAGUUAAAAAGCUGGUAACAAACUGUUUCUUGAUGGAGCAAUCUCGUGGAGGUUGAAGACUAUGGAGGGCCAAAAAAAUUUAAGUAACAGGAUGUGAAAGCACUGAGAACAGGGUCUCCACACCUCACAGUGUGAAAAGAUAUGGAAGCCAUUCAGUGCUUGCAGACCUCUGUUGUUUUUUUUUUGUUUGAAAGCCAAGCACUUUUGAGAAAUCAGGCUCAAAAAAACAGAUUCUUAAAUCUAAUUUAAACAGUGUUUAAAGCAGCAGAACAGUAACUAAUAAGGUCUCAAAAGCAUAUAGAUACCCAGCUCCUGUCUGAAAUCCCACAUAUGCAAACCCAGUGCUUUGGUGCUUAAAUACCUGUUGAAAACACAUCCAUAUAUAAGGCACAUCAAAUACAAACCUCAGACAGCAUGAUUGUCCAUCCCCUGAACAAACAUUUUUCCAUCCAGUAUGGGUUUCUAUGCCCGUGCAUUGUCUCCUAUUGUCUCUGUGCACCGUUUGCAGACACUGCGGCACCAUUUGGGCAAUCUCUAGUGGUCUUCUUCUCUGCCAGAAAAAUGCAAAAACUCUGAAGCAUCAAGAACCGUUUUCUGCUGAGGCUGCUAGAUAGAUUCUACCUUGCAAAUCCAACCCUGAAAAUCACAGUUACUCAGACAAAAUAUGGCAAGAGACUUGCACUUCCAUCAGCAGCUCAAAUGUCACUAAAGCCUGUUACUUUCAUGUGCUGAAGCAGUAAAACAGAUAAGAAAGGAACUUACAUAAAUUCUGGUGAGUACCAUCUUAAGAACAAUGUCCUGGGUGAUUGGGUCACCCACUCAUUUUCCAAUGGUUAAAAGAUACAGAAAUUAGACUUUUGGGAAUGGUGUUUUCAUGCAUUAGUUUGGUGGGUCAGACACACAGGCAAGGGGCGAAAAUUGAGUCAGAGUGAAUUGUUUCACUUCUCUAAAGAAGGCCUUUCCUUUUCCCUUAUAAGCCACAUUUUUGUUAGGAUAUAUGGACCUUGCCACUGCCCUCAACACCCUCCUGUACAGGUCCUUCACGGAGGAAGAGGGGAUAAAAUAUUUCAGGAUGAACCUUCCUGAUUAUCACCGGGAGGCCAAGCAUUUCC
Molecule: long non-coding RNA, 1123 nt
Filed under: Numida meleagris (helmeted guineafowl)
Lineage: Eukaryota; Metazoa; Chordata; Aves; Galliformes; Numididae
Description: lncRNA (ENSNMEG00000006035.1)
Source: RNAcentral